Long non-coding RNA from Phasianus colchicus (ring-necked pheasant), 3051 nucleotides. The record is from Ensembl. NCBI's taxonomy places the organism in Eukaryota, Metazoa, Chordata, Aves, Galliformes, Phasianidae.
AUGUGGCAGGGGGGUUGGAGAUUCAUGAUCCUUGAGGUCCCUUCCAACCCUGGCAAUUCUGUGAUUCUGUGUUGCAUCACCCGAGUUUUACAUCCUCUCCAUUUUGGGACUCUCUUUGGGUCCUUCUUUGGGUACUUGGAUACCGCACCUCUUUCGAGUCCCGCAUCCCGUUCGCAUCCCCCAUACCCUCACCAUCCUCCUCCUUUCCCUCCUCCCCAGCCCCAUCCCUCCCCAUUCCCUAUUGGACGACGUGUCCCCACCGAUUACCCCGUGCUGAAACCGAAAGCGAAAGAGAGGGAGAGGCCAUGGCCGGCGGUGGCGGCGGAUCGCAGAGGGGCGUCGGCGUGGAACCCCUCGGGGAGCGCUGAGCCCCCCCCGCCCGACUCGAGACCACCGCCCAUGGAUCGGCUGCUGCUGCUCUGCGCUGCUCUCCUAUUUCUGCCCUAUAGCUCCUCGGACAGCGCGGUGCGAUGCGGCCGUCCCAAAGAUGUGGCCAAUGCGAUCAUCAACGCGGGAGACACGGAGCUGCUUCACACCAGCCUGCGUUACACCUGCAAGCUGGGCUACAAACGCAAAGCUGGCACCUCCACCCUCAUCCAGUGCGUCCUCGAUCGUGGCAAGCCUGUCUGGACGUCCACUGAGCUGCAGUGCAUCCGGGACCCAGCUCUACCUCUGCAAACCCCAAGCCCUGAGCUCCCAACAGUGAGGACAAGCCAAAGAGGAACCAACACCACUUCAGCAGCAGUGCCUGUGCCAUUGCCAGAGACAUCUGUGCCACCGCCAGUGUCUGAACCACCAGAGAUGCCUAGACCAGGAGAGGGGACAGCCCUGGGGACAACCCCACUGCCCACCAUCCCCAUACACGAUGCUGCAGUUUCCACUCAGACUGUGGCCUCUUCCAUCGGGGUCUCAUUUCUGCUUGUUGUUGUUGUGGCGGGACUCUGCUACCGGAGGAUGAAAAUGCAUGCGCAGCAGCACGUAGCAGCAACGACCAUCCCCAUGGUGGCUCCCAGUACCACAGCAGAGAACGAUGAGAUGUUGCCACCUGGUGACAUCCCCAUGGGCUGAGCACCCAGCACAGAGCACGUUGGUUUACCUACCAGUUAGCUAGGAGGAUGCUCGAAGCUCAGUGCUUCCCCAAGUGGCAGUGGCAUGAGGCAUGUCCCCACGUCCCCAGCUGCCCUUCACACGGAGUAUCUUCACUCCAGGGACAUGUAGUAACUGCUCUUCUCAGCCUGAACAAGUAGAUGAGAUCACUCCAGUGCCAAGUGGUGAGUGGUUAUCCUAUUGUAUGGCUCAAUGAACAACUCAAGCUGGCGUGAACUCAAUGGAAAUCCUAAAUGGGAGCCAAAAUUAGGGAUAAGUACCCAAGCACAAAGCAGGGCUGGAAAAGUUACCAGUAUGGGAUGCAAGGAACAGAGCAAGGCCAUUAAUAGGGCACCCAUGGGUGGCCUGAGUCCAUAGAUAGUGCCCAUCCUCUUGCAGACUGGGAGGCUAUAGUCAACAUGGUCCAGGCUGUUUGCCCCAGUAAAGGACAUUUGUGGGAUGGAGAAUGGAGUUUGGGUGCUGGGGUUGAAGGCAGACUGCCUAAGUAAAACCAUUCCCUGGCUAGGAAUGGUGGACACUAGUCCCAUCCUUAGAGGUGCUUUAACCCCAAAUUGCCCCCCAAACACAGAAAGGAGCACUGCUUAGAGUCACUAAAUAGAGACCCAGGUGAGUAUCCCCUCACUGUACCUUGACUCCCUCCCUGCUCUCUUCCAGCCAUUCAGUCAUGAACCAACAACCACAGCAAAGGGCUUCAGCUCCAUCACCAGUUCAGAGGUCAUCCCCUCAUCCACACUCAGGGAUCUUCAGGGGGCAAUUUCAGCACCGAUGCCAGCUGCUUGUAGGGGACUGCACGUGGGAGUGAUUUGCUACAAACACUACCAAAGCCUGAAGACAAGGACACAGCAGUGAUAUCUGUUGUUAUCCACUGAUUUCCCCCACUUGCUACAGAACUGGUGGUUUUGUACUGAUGUUUUAUAUAUAAAGGAUAUAUAUUGUAAUGUAAAAAUACACACAGAGUGGCUGUUUCUUUAGUUGGGUGUCUUGCCAGCCACAACGAUGGGGAGGACAGUAGGAAUGCUGGGACAGUCAGGAGCUGGUUUGGAGUGAAAUGCAUCCCUGUAACAGCCAGGGCUUGCUGGUGGUCUUCCAGGUAGGACUGAACCAGAGGAAAGGAGACAUUCCAUGACUGCAGCUCCUUACUGAUGGGUAUUGGGAACACCACAAAUCUGCAUGAGUAGAAGGUGGCUUUGAACAACGAGGAUGGGUGGCUCAUGAUUGAAUACAGCUGCAGCAACCCACUGCAAACUCUAAAUGAGCACUGCCAUCCUCUAGAGGUAAAGGGUGAAGGCAAGGUGACGUUCAUCAUCACCGAUCUGGCUCAGGUGGAAGGCAAAAGGGGCUUCAUCAGCCAGCUGGAAAGCCAACCCAACGUGUUCCUUCCUCACUUCUCUUGUCCUUGUGUUUGUUCCACUGCUCUGGACUGUCUGAGCUGGAAAACACAGCACUUUGCUGUGAAGACACAUGAUAAACCAAAGUUUCCUAUAACUCCAAAGUGCCAUGGGAUGGUUGGACAACAGAUGGAAGGGAAUGCUGGAGGUCCAUGGUCCUGUGUCUGCAAGAGCUUUGCAGUUGUAUUCAAAUAAGUUUUAAGCGAAGUUAUCUGCACUUUUGAUAAGCAGAAAGUCUUCCCGAAGUCACUGUUUCAAAAGCAAAAGGAGAGCCAACAAAAUAGCUGCCAUUCCACAAAUAACAGUGGAAGUCAACAGAAUGUGACUCCAAAUUGCUCAUGGCUCCAGGCUGAAGGCCAGGAUCACGCCUCUACCUAAACUGGUUUCAGUUUUGAUCUGUGCAUGAUGUGGCCUCUGGGACAACAAGCCAAGGUGUUAUCUUCAAGCAGGCAGCAUAAGCCACCCUCUGAUUGACAGAGCCACCAUCAUGCUGGUACCAUUGCUAUUGUGAUGGCUAAAAAAUAAAUAUAACCCAGGAAGACUUCUUAAUGGGAGA